GACGAACGCUGGCGGCGCGCUUAACACAUGCAAGUCGAACGGAAAGGCCCUGCUUUUGUGGGGUGCUCGAGUGGCGAACGGGUGAGUAACACGUGAGUAACCUGCCCUUGACUUUGGGAUAACUUCAGGAAACUGGGGCUAAUACCGGAUAGGAGCUCCUGCUGCAUGGUGGGGGUUGGAAAGUUUCGGCGGUUAGGGAUGGACUCGCGGCUUAUCAGCUUGUUGGUGGGGUAGUGGCUUACCAAGGCUUUGACGGGUAGCCGGCCUGAGAGGGUGACCGGCCACAUUGGGACUGAGAUACGGCCCAGACUCCUACGGGAGGCAGCAGUGGGGAAUAUUGCACAAUGGGCGGAAGCCUGAUGCAGCAACGCCGCGUGCGGGAUGACGGCCUUCGGGUUGUAAACCGCUUUCGCCUGUGACGAAGCGUGAGUGACGGUAAUGGGUAAAGAAGCACCGGCUAACUACGUG
RNAcentral lists this ribosomal RNA (468 nucleotides) under uncultured bacterium. RNAcentral's name for it is "partial 16S ribosomal RNA". It matches the Rfam family "Bacterial small subunit ribosomal RNA", at positions 28 to 507 of the family's 1533-position model. The record is from RNAcentral.